This 456-nucleotide ribosomal RNA is filed under the name uncultured bacterium. Its description in RNAcentral is "bacterial SSU rRNA". It matches the Rfam family "Bacterial small subunit ribosomal RNA", at positions 340 to 786 of the family's 1533-position model. The record is from RNAcentral.
UACGGGAGGCAGCAGUGGGGAAUAUUGCACAAUGGGCGCAAGCCUGAUGCAGCCAUGCCGCGUGUAUGAAGAAGGCCUUCGGGUUGUAAAGUACUUUCAGCGGGGAGGAAGGGAGUAAAGUUAAUACCUUUGCUCAUUGACGUUACCCGCAGAAGAAGCACCGGCUAACUCCGUGCCAGCAGCCGCGGUAAUACGGAGGGUGCAAGCGUUAAUCGGAAUUACUGGGCGUAAAGCGCACGCAGGCGGUUUUGUUAAGUCAGAUGUGAAAUCCCCGGGCUCAACCUGGGAACUGCAUCUGAUACUGGCAAGCUUGAGUCUCGUAGAGGGGGUAGAAUUCCAGGUGUAGCGGUGAAAUGCGUAGAGAUCUGGAGGAAUACCGGUGGCGAAGGCGGCCCCUGGGACGAAGACUGACGCUCAGGGUGCGAAAGCGUGGGGAGCAAACAGGGAUUAGAUACC